Molecule: non-coding RNA, 805 nt
Organism: Balearica regulorum gibbericeps (East African grey crowned-crane)
Lineage: Eukaryota; Metazoa; Chordata; Aves; Gruiformes; Gruidae
Source: RefSeq, a predicted model, not a curated record
UCCAGGGUACGAGCCGGCCGUCCCAUUACUACGUGCUCUGGGAUGACAACCGGUUCACUGCGGAUGAGCUGCAGAUCCUCACGUACCAGCUGUGCCAUACCUACGUGCGCUGCACCCGCUCGGUCUCCAUCCCGGCCCCGGCGUACUACGCCCGACUGGUGGCGUUCAGAGCACGGUACCAUCUCGUGGACAAGGAGCACGACAGUGGCGAGGGCAGCCAUAUAUCUGGACAGAGCAACGGCAGAGACCCCCAGGCCUUGGCGAAGGCUGUGCAGGUUCAUCAGGACACUUUACGUACCAUGUACUUUGCUUGAAAGCCUAACUUUUGUUACCUCACUCAAGAAAGCUUUCAGAUUUGUAGGAGCCAUACAAAAAAGGAAGCAUUGGGACACCUUGGUUUUUUUCCAAUGAGAAAUCACUGCAGGGCAGGCAGCGUCAAUUUGAGGCAGGAGACCAGCACCACGGGACAGAAAGAUCCAACACCUUUGUAGGAUUGGAAGAGACUGAUGAUUAUUUUUUUAAUUUUUCUGGCUUUGCAAAAUUUUGACCUGACCAAACACAUGAAGGCAUUCAAGGAAGGGAUAAAACUCCCAGGAGGCGGAAGCAGGUUUUCAUUUUUAAGAUGCAAUACUAUAGACUCCUGACUGUGAAAUGGCGGAUUUGGUCCUCCGUUGCCCACCAGGCGCUGGUAGGUAUUUUUUGUGGGGGUUGGGGGGAGGGAAUUUUUAGAGCCUUAAAACAGAAGACUAGAUUUAUAAAACUAAUAUUUUAGAAUAUGAGAUGCUUUAAUGGGUUAAGGGGAAAA